Molecule: RNA transcript, 2209 nt
Organism: Dendrobium catenatum
Lineage: Eukaryota; Viridiplantae; Streptophyta; Magnoliopsida; Asparagales; Orchidaceae
Gene name: pyridine nucleotide-disulfide oxidoreductase domain-containing protein 2
Exons: 18
Source: RefSeq, a predicted model, not a curated record
UUCUACCCUCCACCGCCGGAUCUCAAGCUAUGCGGCAGUGCAGCUGGUAUUUCUUCUGCUGCCGACGAUUUUUUUACAGCGGCUCCGCUGUAACAGGAAGAACAGUCGAUUCUGGCUCAACUCCCUUCAAGAAAUACGAUGCCGUAGUGAUCGGUGGCGGCCACAACGGCCUGACGGCUGCUGCCUACCUCGCCCGCUCGGGCCUCUCCGUCGCAGUCCUAGAACGCCGACACCUCGUAGGUGGCGCCGCCGUCACUGAGGAGAUCGUUCCGGGAUUUCGCUUCUCGCGUUGCAGCUACCUCCAAAGCCUUCUGCGACCUUCCGUUAUCCGUGAGCUGGAGUUGGUGAGGCACGGGAUGAAGCUUCUCCGGCGGAGUCCAUCGUCUUUCACUCCGUGCCUUGAUGGCCGGAGUCUUCUUUUAGGCCCAGAUGUUGAUUUGAACUAUUCAGAGAUUGCGAAGUUUUCGAAGAAGGAUUCAUUGGCUUAUCCAAGAUAUGAGGAACAGCUCCUGAAAUUCUGUAAAUUCAUGGAUUCACUAUUGGAUUCACAUACUCCUGAAGUCAGGCGGGAUCCGACAUCUCUCAUGGCUCAAGUCAAGGAAAAAUUCAACCGGUCUGCAUUUUGGAGCCAUCUUCUCCAUCAAGCUUUGACAUUGGGACAAAAGGAUAUGUUGGAUUUCAUUGACCUUUUAGUUUCACCAGCAGCAAAGGUUCUAAAUAACUGGUUUGAGACUGAGAUUUUGAAGGCAACACUGGCCACUGAUUCCGUUAUUGGAAGCAUGGCAACUGUUUAUACGCCAGGUUCAGGAUAUGUCUUGCUUCAUCAUGUGAUGGGAGAAACUGACGGGGAACGUGGUGUUUGGUCGUAUGUUGAAGGUGGGAUGGGUUCAGUGUCAUUAGCUUUAAGCAAUGCUGCUUGUGAAGUCGGAGCUCAUAUUGUGACAAAUGCAGAGGUUGCUCAAGUUAUGGUUGAUGAGAAUACUGGGUCUGCGACUGGGGUAAUUUUGGCAGAUGGAAAAGAAGUUCAUAGUUCAGUAAUUUUGUCAAAUGCAACCCCAUAUAAGACGUUUAUGGAGUUAGUGCCUUCUGCUUUUCUUCCGGAAGAAUUUCUCCAAGCUAUAAAAAAUUGUGACUACAGCUCGGCGACAACUAAAAUUAAUGUUGCUGUCGAUAAGUUGCCUCAAUUUUGCUGUUGUGCGACUGAUAUGGAUGGGCCCGGGCCUCAACAUAUAGGUACUAUACAUAUUGGAUCUGAAAGCAUGGAAGAAAUUGAUUUAGCCUACCGUGAUGCUGUAAAUGGCAUACCAUCCAGGAGACCUCUCAUUGAAAUGACAAUUCCUUCAGUUCUUGACAAGACAAUUUCUCCUCCUGGUAAGCAUGUGAUAAAUCUUUUUAUCCAAUACACACCUUUCAAGCUUACAGAGGGCAACUGGGAAGACCCUACCAUUCGAGAAUCAUUUGCUCAAAGAUGUUUCUCCUUGAUUGAUGAAUAUGCACCCGGAUUCAGCUCAACAAUCAUUGACUAUGAUAUGUUGACUCCACCCGACCUUGAAAGAAUCAUUGGACUAACUGGUGGGAACAUCUUCCAUGGUUCAAUGAACUUGGAUUCUUUAUUCUUAAUGCGACCAGUCAAGGGCUGGUCAGAUUACAGGACGCCUCUAAAAGGUCUCUAUUUAUGUGGGAGUGGUGCACAUCCUGGAGGUGGUGUGAUGGGAGCUCCUGGGCGUAAUGCGGCCUCUGUUGUUCUUCAGGAUAUAAAAAGUUUGGCAAGGACUAUUUAAGGUGAAAAUCGCCUUAUCAAGUCUUAGGUGGAGGAGAAAGAAGUCAAAGAACGAACUCUCUAUGAGUGAGGUUGAUGGUGGCGAGCUUUUUGUGGGCGAGGUUGGUGGUGGUGAAUAGGCUUCAGACUUGCUCUGGUGAAUGGAGUCUCUGUGUACCGAACGCUCGGGGUUGUUCUUCAGAACCUCUCCAUGGUUUUUCCUUCCGAGUGUUUGCUCUGCCAACUGCUCAUGAUUAAACUUCCAAAUUCACCUCCAGAAAGCAAUUUUCAGUGCUUGUUUAUUAACUCUGUAGUUCUUUCUGUUCAUUUUUUAUUCUAUUUAAUAAGAUUUGCUUAUUGUCUUACGGGUACUUUUGCAAUGCUGAGCUAUCUAUUUAUUUCCAUGGAUAUCUUUUUAUUAUAACUGGUUGUCAAGAUUCUUGUUUAUUA